CCUACGGGAGACUGCAGUGGGGGAUAUUGGACAAUGGGGGGAACCCUGAUCCAGCGACGCCGCGUGAGUGAAGAAGUAUUUCGGUAUGUAAAGCUCUGUCAGCAGGGAAGAAAGAAAUGACGGUACCUGACCAAGAAGCCCCGGCUAACUACGUGCAAGCAGCCGCGGGAAUACGUAGGGGGCAAGCGUUAUCCGGAAUUACUGGGUGUAAAGGGAGCGUAGACGGUUAAGUAAGUCUGGAGUGAAAGGCCGGGGCCCAACCCCGGGACUGCUCUGGAAACUAUUGAACUUGAGUGCAGGAGAGGUAAGCGGAAUUCCUAGUGUAGCAGUGAAAUGCGUAGAUAUUAGGAGGAACACCAGUGGCGAAGGCGGCUUACUGGACUGUAACUGACGUUGAGGCUCGAAAGCGUGGGGAGCAAACAGGAUUAGAUACCCCAGUAGUC
This 443-nucleotide ribosomal RNA is filed under the name uncultured bacterium. Its description in RNAcentral is "partial 16S ribosomal RNA". It matches the Rfam family "Bacterial small subunit ribosomal RNA", at positions 338 to 795 of the family's 1533-position model. The record is from RNAcentral.